RNAcentral lists this ribosomal RNA (20 nucleotides) under Actinidia chinensis (golden kiwifruit). RNAcentral describes it as "partial 5.8S ribosomal RNA". The record is from RNAcentral. Lineage: Eukaryota; Viridiplantae; Streptophyta; Magnoliopsida; Ericales; Actinidiaceae. RNAcentral also lists the same sequence under 2 other names.
GAAACGACUCUCGGCAACGG